This is a long non-coding RNA of Ailuropoda melanoleuca (giant panda), 211 nucleotides long. RefSeq lists it as uncharacterized. NCBI's taxonomy places the organism in Eukaryota, Metazoa, Chordata, Mammalia, Carnivora, Ursidae. The transcript has 3 exons. The record is from RefSeq and is a predicted model, not a curated record.
AUAAUCCAGGAGAGAGACGCUGAUGACUCCUUUUGUGAUAAGAGAGAAUAUCCUAUAGGGUGAAGAGCAAAACAACACAUAAAACACCUUGAAAAGGAUGGAGAAGAAGAGAGUCUCCAUUCUUCAUCUGGAAGAGCAACGGAAGGAAAGCUGGAGUUUGUGAGGUGCCUACACUAUGCCAGAGAGAGACAGCCAGCGAGAGAGGGAACAC